ACGGGAGGCAGCAGUGGGGAAUAUUGGGCAAUGGGCGCAAGCCUGACCCAGCAAUGCCGCGUGAAGGAAGAAGGCUUUCGGGUUGUAAACUUCUUUUAAGAGGGACGAUAAUGACGGUACCUCUUGAAUAAGCUCCGGCUAACUACGUGCCAGCAGCCGCGGUAAUACGUAGGGAGCAAGCGUUAUCCGGAUUUACUGGGUGUAAAGGGCGUGUAGGCGGGACUGCAAGUCAGAUGUGAAAGCACGAGGCUCAACCUCGUGUCUGCAUUUGAAACUGUAGUUCUUGAGUGCUGGAGAGGCUAACGGAAUUCCUAGUGUAGCGGUGAAAUGCGUAGAUAUUAGGAGGAACACCAGUGGCGAAGGCGGCUUACUGGACGGUAACUGACGUUGAGGCUCGAAAGCGUGGGGAGCAAACAGGAUUAGAUACCCUGAUA
This 434-nucleotide ribosomal RNA is filed under the name uncultured Oscillospiraceae bacterium. RNAcentral describes it as "bacterial SSU rRNA". It matches the Rfam family "Bacterial small subunit ribosomal RNA", at positions 341 to 792 of the family's 1533-position model. The record is from RNAcentral. Lineage: Bacteria; Bacillati; Bacillota; Clostridia; Eubacteriales; Oscillospiraceae.